UAGCUAUUCCUUGAAAGAUACCAUCAAAUAUUAUUUUAACACUUUACUUCCAAAAAAGAUUUAUUCAAGAGGCUUUGAUCACUCUGCAACGGCCAUUGACCAGCUUUGCUUUUCCCUCAGUUUUCCACCUUUUCGCUUAUGCAGUAUCCUCCUUAUUCCUUGAGAGGAAUCUUCUAGAGCUAGAUUCAGAUAUAGACAAAUUCUAUUCUAAAUUUUUUUUCUUUUUUCAUAACUCUACAAUUCAAUCUUACACCAUAUAACAUAAGCAGUAUUACAAAUCUUACACCAUAUGACAUAAGCAGUAUUACAACUCCAGAUUCUAUAACAUGUGGGAAACGAGGCUGAUGUGGAUAUGAUAUGGCGAAUGCUUAAUUGCCUUUCCUUUCCUUAAGCAUGUAAACAAUGAAGAUUUAUUCAAAGUGCUAUAAGGUAUUCUCUCUCAAUACGAACUUCACAAACCUCUCCUGCCCAGUCACCCCCACCUCAUCACCACUAAGAUUAA
RNAcentral lists this unclassified non-coding RNA (502 nucleotides) under Hevea brasiliensis (rubber tree). The record is from RNAcentral. Lineage: Eukaryota; Viridiplantae; Streptophyta; Magnoliopsida; Malpighiales; Euphorbiaceae.